Molecule: ribosomal RNA, 250 nt
Filed under: uncultured bacterium
Lineage: Bacteria
Description: partial 16S ribosomal RNA
Rfam family: Bacterial small subunit ribosomal RNA
Source: RNAcentral
UGGGGAAUAUUGGACAAUGGGGGCAACCCUGAUCCAGCGAUGCCGCGUGUGUGAAGAAGGCCUGCGGGUUGUAAAGCACUUUUGUUGGGGAGGAAAGUAGUUGGGAUAAUACGCUGACUAUCUGACGUUACCCAAAGAAUAAGCACCGGCUAACUCUGUGCCAGCAGCCGCGGUAAUACAGAGGGUGCGAGCGUUAAUCGGAAUGACUGGGCGUAAAGGGCGCGUAGGUGGCUAUUUAAGUGAGAUGUGA